Molecule: ribosomal RNA, 565 nt
Filed under: Meyerozyma guilliermondii
Lineage: Eukaryota; Fungi; Ascomycota; Pichiomycetes; Serinales; Debaryomycetaceae
Description: partial large subunit ribosomal RNA
Rfam family: Eukaryotic large subunit ribosomal RNA
Source: RNAcentral
GGAGGAAAAAGAAACAACAGGGAUUGCCUUAGUAGCGGCGAGUGAAGCGGCAAAAGCUCAAAUUUGAAAUCUGGCGCCUUCGGUGUCCGAGUUGUAAUUUGAAGAUUGUAACCUUGGGGUUGGCUCUUGUCUAUGUUUCUUGGAACAGGACGUCACAGAGGGUGAGAAUCCCGUGCGAUGAGAUGCCCAAUUCUAUGUAAGGUGCUUUCGAAGAGUCGAGUUGUUUGGGAAUGCAGCUCUAAGUGGGUGGUAAAUUCCAUCUAAAGCUAAAUAUUGGCGAGAGACCGAUAGCGAACAAGUACAGUGAUGGAAAGAUGAAAAGAACUUUGAAAAGAGAGUGAAAAAGUACGUGAAAUUGUUGAAAGGGAAGGGUUUGAGAUCAGACUCGAUAUUUUGUGAGCCUUGCCUUCGUGGCGGGGUGACCCGCAGCUUAUCGGGCCAGCAUCGGUUUGGGCGGUAGGAUAAUGGCGUAGGAAUGUGACUUUACUUCGGUGAAGUGUUAUAGCCUGCGUUGAUGCUGCCUGCCUAGACCGAGGACUGCGAUUAUCAAGGAGCAAUCAUGCGA